This 107-nucleotide small RNA is filed under the name Marmota monax (woodchuck). Lineage: Eukaryota; Metazoa; Chordata; Mammalia; Rodentia; Sciuridae. The record is from RNAcentral.
GCCAGGCAUAGUAGUGCAUGCCUGUAAUCCCAGUGUCUCAGGAGGCUGAGGCAGGAGAAUCACAAGUUCAAAGCCAGACUCAGCAACUUAGCAAGACCCUGUCUCAA